GCACAAGCGGUGGAUGAUGUGGAUUAAUUCGAUGCAACGCGAAAACCUUACCUACCCUUGACAUGUCUGGAAUGCCGAAGAGAUUUGGCAGUGCUCGCAAGAGAACCGGAACACAGGUGCUGCAUGGCUGUCGUCAGCUCGUGUCGUGAGAUGUUGGGUUAAGUCCCGCAACGAGCGCAACCCUUGUCAUUAGUUGCUACAUUUAGUUGGGCACUCUAAUGAGACUGCCGGUGACAAACCGGAGGAAGGUGGGGAUGACGUCAAGUCCUCAUGGCCCUUAUAGGUGGGGCUACACACGUCAUACAAUGGCCGGUACAAAGGGCUGCCAACCCGCGAGGGGGAGCCAAUCCCAUAAAACCGGUCGUAGUCCGGAUCGCAGUCUGCAACUCGACUGCGUGAAGUCGGAAUCGCUAGUAAUCGUGGAUCAGAAUGUCACGGUGAAUACGUUCCCGGGUCUU
This 458-nucleotide ribosomal RNA is filed under the name uncultured Comamonadaceae bacterium. RNAcentral's name for it is "bacterial SSU rRNA". It matches the Rfam family "Bacterial small subunit ribosomal RNA", at positions 923 to 1382 of the family's 1533-position model. The record is from RNAcentral. Lineage: Bacteria; Pseudomonadati; Pseudomonadota; Betaproteobacteria; Burkholderiales; Comamonadaceae.